GGUGCGGCGGAUAGAGAAGGGCGAGUCGGCGUGACGGCGGUUUCCGCAGCGGGUCCUGGUCCAGUGAUGGAGAUUGGUGACACCCUGGAGAAGCUGAAACCAGAGAGCCUCUUGUUUUCCCUUUUUCUCUGUCUACACUCUGUCCUCACCUACACUACGUUUCUGCUGUGGUCGGGGGUUGAUGACCUCAAUAUGAGUUUUGAUUGUUAAAUGUUUUUGUUUGGGGAAGUAACUUUUGUUUGGAAAAAGCUCUCACAUACAGGAAUUAGGGCCUAGAUUGUGAGCUCUUGCGGCAGUCACAUUUGUUCCUGGGUUUGGUUGUUAUUUCUGAAUUUUGAGGUGCUUUGCUCUUUCUAGUGUGACCUGAUAGCUCCCUGGAACUUUGGGUCUGUGUGCAACACAUAUGAGACUCAGUGUUCUCCAGCUCUGGAGGUGCCCAAGGAGCUGCAUGGACUCCGAAGACCACUCCAUGCAGCAGCUGCUGAGGAAGGGGCCAGACUUGGACUGGGAAUGCGGAUGGGCCUGACCUGGCUAGGACUGAUGAGUCUGGAGAACGGGUGGAGGAUGGUAUUGUUUGUAUUGGGGGACUUUAAUUUCUGUGUGAGACCAAAGGCGGAGAGAUGUAUUUUGUUCAAAAUUUAAAUUUUAUGUGGUACACUAUCGGAUGUAACCUGUCUCGUGGGUUUGUUUGGACAACCUAACUCAGCUCUAUUUGCCAUGGAACCUAGAGUAGGAGGUGAGAUCUUGGUGUUCUGUAUGGGUUGAUGUGACACCCAUAUGUAUUUUAGGGGAUAUUGGACAUAAAAUGAAAGAUAUUUGCAAAGACCCUUCAGGGGCUGGAAAGGGAAGCCUGGAACUGUCUGCAUUGAACUCUUAAACUGGACAGGGAAGAGGCAUCUUCAAGGUUCAUAUGUUGUCCAGCUAUAAGUUUAUUUGAAUAGCAGGCCUGCUAAGUAUUUGAGGUCAAAACCCUACCAUGUUUAAAAAAGUAAACAAACUUACCAUGUUAAUAAAAGUAUUCAUUUGCUUGAAAAGACA
This is a non-coding RNA of Ictidomys tridecemlineatus (thirteen-lined ground squirrel), 1038 nucleotides long. The record is from RefSeq and is a predicted model, not a curated record. NCBI's taxonomy places the organism in Eukaryota, Metazoa, Chordata, Mammalia, Rodentia, Sciuridae.